ACCUUCAUCUCUCACCUCUCCAUAUUCCCCCCUUUCUCUUCCCCCACAUCACCCAUUUCCAUGGACAAUCGUUCCUCAAACAAACGCCUCCGAGUCGACUCACCCCACUCCGAAUCCGACUCUCCCGAGGUCAAACGUCUCCGAGAUGACCUCCUCGGCCUUCUCGACGACGCCGACCCCGAUCCCACCCUUCAAGAUCUCGAUUCCGUCAUCCAGAGUUUUGCAGACGAGAUUUCCCCCGUCUCCUCGGCCACCCCCGCUGACUCCUUGCCGGAGCUCGGGUACCUUCUUCUAGCCUCCGACGAUGAGCUCGGUCUCCCCCCCUCCGACGCCUCCACAAGCCACGGAGGCGAAACGGAGGUGGGUGAACUGACACGGGCGUCGUCGGAGUCGUCUGGCAUCGGAGAGAUUUGGGGAUUUGAAGAUGCGGUUCCCAAUUACGAGGCGUUCGAGUUGGGGGAAGGAGAGAGAUUUUACAAUGAUACAGAAUAUGUGGCGUUUGAUGGACUGUUUGAACAUUCCGAUGUGUACUCUGUUUUCUCGUGACGGCGAAGUAGGAGGAAAGAGACAGAGAAAGA
RNAcentral lists this unclassified non-coding RNA (578 nucleotides) under Hevea brasiliensis (rubber tree). Lineage: Eukaryota; Viridiplantae; Streptophyta; Magnoliopsida; Malpighiales; Euphorbiaceae. The record is from RNAcentral.